This 496-nucleotide ribosomal RNA is filed under the name uncultured eukaryote. Its description in RNAcentral is "SSU rRNA". It matches the Rfam family "Eukaryotic small subunit ribosomal RNA", at positions 619 to 1120 of the family's 1831-position model. The record is from RNAcentral.
UUAAAAAGCUCGUAGUUGGAUUUCUGGUGGGAGCGGCCGGUCCGCCGUAAGGUGUGUACUUGGUUGUCUCCUGUCAUCCUUGUGGGAACUGCUCUGGCAUUAAGUUGUCGGGGUUAGGGAACACAUCGUUUACUGUGAAAAAAUUAGAGUGUUUAAAGCAGGCUUAUGCCGUUGAAUACAUUAGCAUGGAAUAAUAAGAUAGGACUUUGGCGUCUAUUUUGUUGGUUUGCACACCAAGGUAAUGAUUAAUAGGGAUAGUUGGGGGUAUUCGUAUUUAAUUGUCAGAGGUGAAAUUCUUGGAUUUAUGAAAGACGAACUUCUGCGAAAGCAUUUACCAAAGAUGUUUUCAUUAAUCAAGAACGAAAGUUAGGGGAUCGAAGAUGAUUAGAUACCAUCGUAGUCUUAACCAUAAACUAUGCCGACUAGGGAUUGGCGGUCGUUCAUUUAUGACUCCGUCAGCACCUUAUGAGAAAUCAAAGUCUUUGGGUUCCGGGGG